AGGAUCUCUGCAGUCGUCCUCUCAGCUGACACGUCUGUCCGGAUUCUCUGCCUGGAAACAUCUGAAACUAAUCGGAACCGCCGUCAGACAGAGACGGACGGACCUCACCGACUGCGAGGGCUCGGUUAGGUCUGAAAACCGAUGAUGGGAGGAGGUCAGAGUCACGAGAAGGAUCCUGAGGAGGGAAGAGGAGCAGCUGAAGAACAUCAGGAGUCUAACCAGUCUAAAGGUCAAGCCUCUGAAGAGACGCCAGGUGAGCUGCCCCAGUGCAGGAUGGGAAGCAGGAAGGUGGACGACAUGUGCUUCAUGAUCUCCUGCACCAACUGGUACUGAACGGAUGAGGACUGCUGAGGAUGCUCCGUUCUAGCUUUGCUUCCGUCAGACCCGCUGCUGCUUUGGUGUUGAGGGUUUAUUUCUGCUCAGAUUCAGCCGAACGUCCCAGAAACGGACCUGCAGGAAGGUUUGAUCCUAAAUCUGCAGGAGAGUAACAGCCAGCCGUCGCUUAGCGAUGCAGAUCUUAGUCUAUCGAAGGAAAAGCUGAGCAGCUGCUGCGGUGAGGCUGAAUGAUGAAGUCCAGACCUUGCAGUGUUUCAGUGGAGAAUCAUAUGAUGGACGAGGAUUCAUGGAGUCACCCGUCCUACAAAGGCUCAUCAACCUGGAACUAAAAUCGCUGCACAUGGCUGCAAACUGAGGCCAGAAGCUGAAAUUACAGAUUAGUUUUAUAAAUUAGUAACAAAGCUCUGAAGACUGAAGGUUUAACAUUCUUGGUUCAGGAACAUUUGGUGGAAACCUGCUGCUGUUGAGUUUUCCAUCUUUCUACUGAAAUGCUUCAGUUUUUCCACAGCUUUGAUAGAAAUGAUUUAACUUCCUGCUCAGUAAAAUCAGCUGCUGGGUAAACUGGUGUGAAGGUGAUUUAUCUGUUGGUCUGAUGCAAAAUAAAGAUGAAAUUACAAAAUAAA
This is a long non-coding RNA of Fundulus heteroclitus (mummichog), 959 nucleotides long. RefSeq lists it as uncharacterized. The record is from RefSeq and is a predicted model, not a curated record. The transcript is spliced from 3 exons. NCBI's taxonomy places the organism in Eukaryota, Metazoa, Chordata, Actinopteri, Cyprinodontiformes, Fundulidae.